This 61-nucleotide microRNA precursor is filed under the name Pristionchus pacificus. RNAcentral describes it as "mir-8364 microRNA precursor family". It matches the Rfam family "mir-8364 microRNA precursor family". The record is from Rfam by way of RNAcentral. Lineage: Eukaryota; Metazoa; Nematoda; Chromadorea; Rhabditida; Neodiplogasteridae.
UCUCCAUUUCACACACUCUCUCGCCUCUCUGACCGGUGAGAGAGUGUGGGAAAUGAAGUGA